RNAcentral lists this transfer RNA (85 nucleotides) under Bacillota bacterium. RNAcentral describes it as "tRNA-Leu". It matches the Rfam family "tRNA". Rfam says of the family: Transfer RNA (tRNA) molecules are approximately 80 nucleotides in length. The record is from RNAcentral. Lineage: Bacteria; Bacillati; Bacillota.
GAGGACGUGGUGGAAUGGCAGACACGCUACUUUGAGGGGGUAGUGAGCUACGCUCGUGUGGGUUCAAAUCCCAUCGUCCUCACCA